RNAcentral lists this ribosomal RNA (551 nucleotides) under uncultured bacterium. Its description in RNAcentral is "partial 16S ribosomal RNA". It matches the Rfam family "Bacterial small subunit ribosomal RNA", at positions 355 to 900 of the family's 1533-position model. The record is from RNAcentral.
UAGGGAAUCUUCGGCAAUGGACGAAAGUCUGACCGAGCAACGCCGCGUGAGUGAAGAAGGUUUUCGGAUCGUAAAACUCUGUUGGUAGAGAAGAACGUUGGUGAGAGUGGAAAGCUCAUCAAGUGACGGUAACUACCCAGAAAGGGACGGCUAACUACGUGCCAGCAGCCGCGGUAAUACGUAGGUCCCGAGCGUUGUCCGGAUUUAUUGGGCGUAAAGCGAGCGCAGGUGGUUUAUUAAGUCUGGUGUAAAAGGCAGUGGCUCAACCAUUGUAUGCAUUGGAAACCGGUAGACUUGAGUGCAGGAGNAGAGUGGAAUUCCAUGUGUAGCGGUGAAAUGCGUAGNUAUAUGGAGGAACACCGGUGGCGAAAGCGGCUCUCUGGCCUGUAACUGACACUGAGGCUCGAAAGCGUGGGGAGCAAACAGGAUUAGAUACCCUGGUAGUCCACGCCGUAAACGAUGAGUGCUAGAUGUAGGGAGCUAUAAGUUCUCUGUAUCGCAGCUAACGCAAUAAGCACUCCGCCUGGGGAGUACGACCGCAAGGUUGAAAC